UACCGGCGCCACUAGUAGGGACCAUGGUUAUUGGGCCUAAAGCGUUCGUAGCAGGUUCUGUAAAUCUCCUGUGAAAUCGUCGGGCUUAACCUGACGGCGGGCAGGAGAGACUGCAGGACUAGAGACCGGGAGGGGUCAGGGGUAUUCCUUGGGGAGCGGUAAAAUGCUAUAAUCCUUGGAAGACCACCUGUGGCGAAGGCGCCUGACCAGAACGGGUCUGACUGUGAGGGACGAAAGCCAGGGGA
Molecule: ribosomal RNA, 245 nt
Filed under: uncultured archaeon
Lineage: Archaea
Description: partial 16S ribosomal RNA
Rfam family: Archaeal small subunit ribosomal RNA
Source: RNAcentral